UCCUCGGUGGCGCAAUUGGCUAGCGCGUCUGACUGUUACCAUCCGUCAAGGAGGUUGCCAUCAGGAGGUUGAAAGUUCGAGCCUUUCCCGGGGAG
Hypoxylon sp. FL1284 is the source of this 95-nucleotide non-coding RNA. Lineage: Eukaryota; Fungi; Ascomycota; Sordariomycetes; Xylariales; Hypoxylaceae. The record is from the annotation of a GenBank genome assembly.